CUGGUGGCAGCCCAGACUGCCUCGGUCCGGGAGGGAGAGGGUUUCUCAGCAGAGAUCCCCACGCAGCAUCCCCAGAACUGGGCACACGUGCCAGGACACCGAGACCAGGAUGGGGCGAGCGAGGAGGGAGUUUCGGGGUGCCCAGCGAGCGAGGGGUCUUCAACUGCACCCGUAGAUGUUACAUCCCAGGCAGGGUCUGCUUUAAAUCCCUCCCUCCUCCCUCCCUCCCUGGCGAGGAACUUCUCUCGCUGAACUGGAGGAUGCUGCAAGCUCCUGCGGACGAGCCGGAGGAGUCCUGUGGCAAAGUCAAGGCGAGCGAAGAAGCAGCGUGGUCAUGCCGGGUGUCACCGCAGCCCGCUGCCGCCAGCCCAGCCUGCUGCGGCCGCUGUCACCUCCAGGACCGGACCAGGCCUAGAGCAGACUCAUCUCAGCUCUCGCUGCCCAGCCCACCAUGUCCUUUCUCCCAGCUGCCAUUGUCUUGUUUGUGGGACUCGUCGUAGGUAUUGGACUUGUAGUAGCAGCAAAUGGUUCAAGGAUGAGAAUGGCUGCAAGGAGGAACCGCGCAGGAUCUUUUGACUUCGCUUUUGAAGCUGGUGAGUGGGGAGGGCAGGGGAGCUGAGAUGUGUGGGGUGGGAGCACAGGGCUGUACCCUGAGGUUUCUCUGAAGCCAAAGCAGCCCAUUAACUCCUCCCUGGUCUGAAUGCACCUGGACUUAGGGAAAGGGAUCAAUCCCAAUGUGCUGGGAAGAGCCAGGACCUGCUGGGACUGGGGUCAAGGCUGAGGGUAUCAGGGGCUGUGCAGGCAGGUGUCUGCUGUUUAGCAAGAAGUCCUGUGUCCACUGGCAGCACUGGUGAGAGACAGAAAGGGGCAGCAGAAAGGGCUUGGAUGUGCUCAGGGAGCAGCACUUGCUGCAGACCAAGUGUCUGGCACAGACUGAGGACACCCUUGGUGGAGAGACAUUUCUGUCUGUCCCUGCCUUAUGCAUGUCCAUCAGCAGGCAGCCUUGAUGCUUCUGGGACAUGACUCUCCUGUCUUUAUAGGGGGAAAUGAACAGGUCCUCUCUCCAAGCAUCUGCCCAAGCUAUGCUGUCCAGAGGAGGAACAGAUGACCACUGCAGGUGAACAAAAGCACAUUUCCCUCCUGCCUUUCAAGCAGCCUGAUUUGUGUCUUCCCACAGCAGCAGCUAGAAAUCCGCCACUGACUCGCAGCUUCCACUUUAACAGAUUUGAAUUACCUUGAGCAAUAAAUGCUUUGAAAACUCUAAUAAACGUGCAUGGCUGGUGUGCGUGUGUGGUGUUCCUUGGUGUGUGUCGUGGC
Molecule: long non-coding RNA, 1317 nt
Filed under: Catharus ustulatus (Swainson's thrush)
Lineage: Eukaryota; Metazoa; Chordata; Aves; Passeriformes; Turdidae
Description: lncRNA (ENSCUSG00005008252.1)
Source: RNAcentral